RNAcentral lists this ribosomal RNA (497 nucleotides) under uncultured bacterium. RNAcentral describes it as "partial 16S ribosomal RNA". It matches the Rfam family "Bacterial small subunit ribosomal RNA", at positions 28 to 507 of the family's 1533-position model. The record is from RNAcentral.
GAUGAACGCUGGCGGCGUGCCUAAUACAUGCAAGUCGAGCGAACAGACGAGGAGCUUGCUCCUCUGACGUUAGCGGCGGACGGGUGAGUAACACGUGGAUAACCUACCUAUAAGACUGGGAUAACUUCGGGAAACCGGAGCUAAUACCGGAUAAUAUACUGAACCGCAUGGUUCAAUAGUGAAAGACGGUUUUGCUGUCACUUAUAGAUGGAUCCGCGCCGCAUUAGCUAGUUGGUAAGGUAACGGCUUACCAAGGCAACGAUGCGUAGCCGACCUGAGAGGGUGAUCGGCCACACUGGAACUGAGACACGGUCCAGACUCCUACGGGAGGCAGCAGUAGGGAAUCUUCCGCAAUGGGCGAAAGCCUGACGGAGCAACGCCGCGUGAGUGAUGAAGGUCUUCGGAUCGUAAAACUCUGUUAUUAGGGAAGAACAAAUGUGUAAGUAACUAUGCACGUCUUGACGAUACCUAAUCAGAAAGCCACGGCUAACUACGUG